RNAcentral lists this ribosomal RNA (844 nucleotides) under uncultured bacterium. Its description in RNAcentral is "SSU rRNA". It matches the Rfam family "Bacterial small subunit ribosomal RNA", at positions 524 to 1381 of the family's 1533-position model. The record is from RNAcentral.
UACAUAGGGGGCAAGCGUUAUCCGGAAUUAUUGGGCGUAAAGGGUGCGUAGGUGGUUAUUUAAGUCUUUGGUGUAAGUGCAGUGCUUAACGCUGUGAUGCUAAAGAAACUGGGUAACUUGAGUGUGGUAGAGGCAAGUGGAAUUCCAUGUGUAGCGGUAAAAUGCGUAAAUAUAUGGAGGAACACCAGUGGCGAAGGCGGCUUGCUGGGCCACAACUGACACUGAGGCACGAAAGCGUGGGGAGCAAACAGGAUUAGAUACCCUGGUAGUCCACGCCGUAAACGAUGAGUACUAAGUGUAGGAGAAAUUCUGUGCUGUAGUUAACGCAAUAAGUACUCCGCCUGAGUAGUACGUGCGCAAGCAUGAAACUCAAAGGAAUUGACGGGACCCCGCACAAGCGGUGGAUCAUGUUGUUUAAUUCGAUGAUACGCGAAGAACCUUACCAGGUCUUGACAUCCCCUGCAAAGCUAUGGAGACAUAGUGGAGGUUAUCAGGGAGACAGGUGGUGCAUGGUUGUCGCCAGCUCGUGUCGUGAGAUGUUGGGUUAAGUCCCGCAACGAGCGCAACCCUUAUUGCUAGUUACCAUCAUUAAGUUGGGGACUCUAGCGAGACUGCCAGUGAUAAACUGGAGGAAGGUGGGGAUGACGUCAAAUCAUCAUGCCCCUUAUGACCUGGGCUACAAACGUGAUACAAUGGCUGAAACAAAGGGCAGCGAAGCAGUGAUGUGGAGCGAAACCCAAAAAAGCAGUCUCAGUUCGGAUUGAAGUCUGCAACUCGACUUCAUGAAGUCGGAAUCGCUAGUAAUCGCGGAUCAGAACGCCGCGGUGAAUACGUUCUCGGGGUU